CUGAGUACGGCGGAACACGUGAAAUUCCGUCGGAAUCCGGGAGGACCAUCUCCCAAGGCUAAAUACUCCCUAGUGACCGAUAGUGAACCAGUACCGUGAGGGAAAGGUGAAAAGCACCCCGGAAGGGGAGUGAAACAGUUCCUGAAACCGUGUGCCUACAAGUAGUUAGAGCCCGUUAAUGGGUGAUAGCGUGCCUUUUGUAGAAUGAACCGGCGAGUUACGAUUUGUUGCAAGGUUAAGCGGAAAAAGCGGAGCCGUAGCGAAAGCGAGUCUGAAUAGGGCGCAUAAGUAACAGGUCGUAGACCCGAAACCAGGUGAUCUACCCAUGUCCAGGAUGAAGGUAAGGUAAUACUUACUGGAGGUCCGAACCCACGCACGUUGAAAAGUGCGGGGAUGAGGUGUGGGUAGCGGAGAAAUUCCAAUCGAACUUGGAGAUAGCUGGUUCUCUCCGAAAUAGCUUUAGGGCUAGCCUCGAGGUAAAGAGUCAUGGAGGUAGAGCACUGUUUGGACUAGGGGCCCUUCUCGGGUUACCGAAUUCAGAUAAACUCCGAAUGCCAUGUACUUAUACUCGGGAGUCAGACUGCGAGUGAUAAGAUCCGUAGUCGAAAGGGAAACAGCCCAGACCACCAGUUAAGGUCCCCAAAUAUAUGUUAAGUGGAAAAGGAUGUGGGGUUGCUUAGACAACCAGGAUGUUGGCUUAGAAGCAGCCACCAUUGAAAGAGUGCGUAAUAGCUCACUGGUCGAGUGACCCCGCGCCGAAAAUGUACCGGGGCUAAACAUAUUACCGAAACUGUGGAUGAACCUCUUUAGAGGUUCGUGGUAGGAGAGCGUUCUAAGGGCGGUGAAGUCAGACCGGAAGGACUGGUGGAGCGCUUAGAAGUGAGAAUGCCGGUAUGAGUAGCGAAAGAAGGGUGAGAAUCCCUUCCACCGAAUAUCUAAGGUUUCCUGAGGAAGGCUCGUCCGCUCAGGGUUAGUCGGGACCUAAGCCGAGGCCGAUAGGCGUA
RNAcentral lists this ribosomal RNA (1004 nucleotides) under Listeria monocytogenes. RNAcentral's name for it is "partial 23S ribosomal RNA". It matches the Rfam family "Bacterial large subunit ribosomal RNA", at positions 408 to 1413 of the family's 2925-position model. The record is from RNAcentral. Lineage: Bacteria; Bacillati; Bacillota; Bacilli; Caryophanales; Listeriaceae.